GUGGGGAAUCUUGCGCAAUGGGCGAAAGCCUGACGCAGCCAUGCCGCGUGGAUGAUGAAGGUCUUAGGAUUGUAAAAUCCUUUCACCGGUGAAGAUAAUGACUGUAGCCGGAGAAGAAGCCCCGGCUAACUUCGUGCCAGCAGCCGCGGUAAUACGAAGGGGGCUAGCGUUGCUCGGAUUUACUGGGCGUAAAGGGCGCGUAGGCGGACAUUUAAGUCAGGGGUGAAAUCCCGGGGCUCAACCUCGGAACUGCCUUUGAUACUGGGUGUCUUGAGUAUGAGAGAGGUGUGUGGAACUCCGAGUGUAGAGGUGAAAUUCGUAGAUAUUCGGAAGAACACCAGUGGCGAAGGCGGCUCACUGGCUCGAUACUGACGCUGAGGUGCGAAAGCGUGGGGAGCAAACAGGAUUAGAAACCCCGGUAGUCC
RNAcentral lists this ribosomal RNA (425 nucleotides) under uncultured bacterium. Its description in RNAcentral is "partial 16S ribosomal RNA". It matches the Rfam family "Bacterial small subunit ribosomal RNA", at positions 354 to 796 of the family's 1533-position model. The record is from RNAcentral.